This 450-nucleotide ribosomal RNA is filed under the name uncultured bacterium. Its description in RNAcentral is "partial 16S ribosomal RNA". It matches the Rfam family "Bacterial small subunit ribosomal RNA", at positions 354 to 796 of the family's 1533-position model. The record is from RNAcentral.
GUGGGGAAUUUUGGACAACGGGCGCAAGCCUGAUCCAGCAAUGCCGCGUGCAGGAAGAAGGCCUUCGGGUUGUAAACUGCUUUUGUACGGAACGAAACAGUCCUGGCUAAUAUCCGGGGCUAAUGACGGUACCGUAAGAAUAAGCACCGGCUAACUACGUGCCAGCAGCCGCGGUAAUACGUAGGGUGCGAGCGUUAAUCGGAAUUACUGGGCGUAAAGCGUGCGCAGGCGGUGCUGUAAGACAGGCGUGAAAUCCCCGGGCUCAACCUGGGAAUUGCGCUUGUGACUGCAGUGCUGGAGUGCGGCAGAGGGGGAUGGAAUUCCGCGUGUAGCAGUGAAAUGCGUAGAUAUGCGGAGGAACACCGAUGGCGAAGGCAAUCCCCUGGGCCUGCACUGACGCUCAUGCACGAAAGCGUGGGGAGCAAACAGGAUUAGAUACCCUUGUAGUCC